Molecule: ribosomal RNA, 253 nt
Filed under: uncultured bacterium
Lineage: Bacteria
Description: partial 16S ribosomal RNA
Rfam family: Bacterial small subunit ribosomal RNA
Source: RNAcentral
UACAGAGGGUGCGAGCGUUAAUCGGAAUUACUGGGCGUAAAGCGUGCGUAGACGGUUAUGUAAGUCAGGUGUGAAAACCCCGGGCUCAACCUGGGAAUUGCAUUUGAGACUGCAUAGCUAGGGUGCGGAAGAGGGAAGCGGAAUUUCCGGUGUAGCGGUGAAAUGCGUAGAUAUCGGAAGGAACAUCAGUGGCGAAAGCGGCUUCCUGGUCCAGCACCGACGUUCAGGCACGAAAGCGUGGGGAGCGAACCGG